UGAAGACAGAUAUACUGACAUGAUUUUUCUCUGUUCUAACCAGCGGUGAGGCAGCUGAAGGAAGCUGUGGACUCAUCCAUUAACAAGCUGUCCAACUUUGACGGUAAGAGCACAGAUUGUGUGUUUUUAAUCGACACUAAGAGCAUUUUCACACUUCGGAUUUCGGUGUGGUUCAUUUAAGGUGAACCACUCAAGAAAUGGAGAAGAGACCUGACAUGUUUUCCUGAUUUAUUCCACAGAAGUCAUUGAUGCACAUCUUCAGAAUAACCAGACGACAGUGGACAACAGCUUGGCCAGUCCAGACAGGCUUAAAGAAAACCAAAUAGACGCUAAAGAGAGCGAUAUGUCAGAUACCCUGAGCCCCAGCAAGGACAAAAGCAGUGACGACACAUCAGAUGGACAGAUGGAUGAACAAGAACUGAACGAGCCCCAGAACAGGGUUUCUCUUCUGAAAGGUAAUCCCUCCAUUCUUUUGUGUGAAA
RNAcentral lists this long non-coding RNA (482 nucleotides) under Sinocyclocheilus grahami. Its description in RNAcentral is "lncRNA (ENSSGRG00000003535.1)". Lineage: Eukaryota; Metazoa; Chordata; Actinopteri; Cypriniformes; Cyprinidae. The record is from RNAcentral.